CCUACGGGUGGGCAGCAGUGGGGAAUAUUGCACAAUGGACGAAAUUCUGAUGCAGCAACGCCGCGUGGAGGAUGACACAUUUCGGUGCGUAAACUCCUUUUAUAUGGGAAGAUAAUGACGGUACCAUAUGAAUAAGCACCGGCUAACUCCGUGCCAGCAGCCGCGGUAAUACGGAGGGUGCAAGCGUUACUCGGAAUCACUGGGCGUAAAGAGCGUGUAGGCGGUUAUAUAAGUCAGAAGUGAAAGCCAAUAGCUUAACUAUUGAACUGCGUUUGAAACUGUGUACCUAGAAUGUGGGAGAGGUAGAUGGAAUGUCUGGUGUAGGGGUAAAAUCCGUAGAGAUCAGAAGGAAUACCGAUUGCGAAGGCGAUCUACUGGAACAUUAUUGACGCUGAGACGCGAAAGCGUGGGGAGCAAACA
RNAcentral lists this ribosomal RNA (420 nucleotides) under uncultured prokaryote. RNAcentral describes it as "bacterial SSU rRNA". It matches the Rfam family "Bacterial small subunit ribosomal RNA", at positions 338 to 774 of the family's 1533-position model. The record is from RNAcentral.